Molecule: long non-coding RNA, 1483 nt
Filed under: Heterocephalus glaber (naked mole-rat)
Lineage: Eukaryota; Metazoa; Chordata; Mammalia; Rodentia; Bathyergidae
Description: lncRNA (ENSHGLG00000034258.1)
Source: RNAcentral
CAGAGCCACUGGGUUAGGACUUGUGGAGCGGUGCAUGCAGGAAGGAAAGGCUGCCCUAGAGGCAACACCUGUUUGAAAUGUCCCUGUUAUCUCUGUUUUAACCUGUUCUUCAGCUCAUCUUUCCUGCCUCUCCUGGCUUCUUUAUCUCUCCAGGAGAAAGCUCUGCCUUUCUCUUGAAUUCCCCAUGUAACUCACUGUUCUGUAACCUUGCGCUUAAUUGUCUGUCUCUUCCAGUAGACGGCGAGGGGUUUAAGGACCAGGUCUCCAGAGUGCGGCCCCUGGCAGGAUAAUGAAUGAUGAGUAAACGCACGAGUGAGUGAACCAUGUGGUGGAGCCAGACGCCAUCUUGAAAAACAUAGAUGAGAGUGGUCUCCCAAGAAGCCCUUCUGAUGACCAGCGAGCUAGAACCUGAGAAAUGAGGUCAAUGACCAAACAAAGACACGGCACUGGGUAUUUCCCUGCUAGAAUGUGUGGAAAUAUAUAAUAACACCAAACCCCAAUGAUGGAAAACAAGCUGUGAGUGGAAGUGGAGGCAUUUGGGAUUAAAUCCAGGGCCUUCAUGCUGAGGUACAUCCCCAGCCCUGUUUGUUUUCGAUUUUAAGAAAGGCUCUUGCUAAAUUGCCCGGGCUGGGCUCGAACAAUCCUGUCCGAGCCUCCCAGAGUGCUGGGAUCGCAGGCGUGUGCCACCACUCCCAGCAGUGUAAGCAUCCUUCUAACACCGAGAGUCACACGGGCCUCUUGGGGAAAACCUGAGCUGCCCCGGGAAGUACAAAUGUGAAGAGCGAUAGGUUCAUGGUGGUUCUAACCUUUCGUCUCUCUAUGGAAUCCUUUGAGAAUGUGAUGAAAGCUGAGGACAUUUUCUCAAGGAAAUUGCACACAUAUUUCUGACAAUAAAGAGGCUUUUUCAACUUGAGGCUCAUCUUUGGGUCCCGGUUUGUGUGAAUGGUGGAGUAGAUGUCCAUAGACCUCAAGUGUUUUAGUGUUCCAGAGCUGGAAUGGUAAAAUGUCAUACAUUGGGUGAUAUUUAUUUCCUCACAAUUCUGGGGGUUAGGAGUCCAUGAUCAGGGUGCCAAGAUAGUUGGGUUCUGGAAAGGACGCUCUUCCUGGCUUGCAAACUGCUACCAUCUUGUGUGUGUGUGUGUGUGUGUGUGUGUGUGUGUGUGUGUGAGAGAGAGAGAGAGACAGAGAGAGAGAGAGAGACAGAGAGAGAGACAGAGAGAGAGAGAGACAGAGAGAGACAGAGAGAGACAGAGAGAGAGAGAGAGAGAGAGAGAGAGAGAGGGAGGGACAGAGAGGCUCUCUGGUGUCUCUUUUCACGAGGGCAAUUAUCCCUUCAUGGAGACUCGAUCUUCGUGAGUUUAUCUGAACCCAAUAACCUCUUAAUACCAUCACAUUAGGCUGGGGCUUCAACAUAUGAGUUUUAGGAGACACAAAUCAGUCCACAGCACCAGGUCAUAAACCCUGUGCUACGGGAGUAAGGGUG